AUGGUUUUGGGUGCGGAGGGUGAGCCACUGCAACAGGAGGUUGCACGAGCUGCUGUUCCUGCAAGAGGUUUGCAAAACUCAAAGGCCCCCAGCACCAGCAGCCCCGCUAAACCUGGCAGCCCUGCUAAUUGGGAGCAGAGGGAGAGGGGCCGAGCCACGUCAGGGGAAGAUGGAGUGGCUGAGCGAGCAGACGGCAGACGGCGGCAUGCAGAGACAGUCGGGGGAGAAGGGGAGGACUGUGUGAGAGGCAAGGCAGGGGCUGAGGAGGAGGAGGAGGAGGGGAAGGAGGGGCUGAGCAAAGCAGAGCGGGCGAGCAGGCGUCAGAGCUGCAGGGGCUUGGGGACGGUGUCGCAGGCAAGGCUGAAAUAUAAAUGGGAAUUCUCACCGAGACAGAUCGAUGCCAUAUUGCUUUUGCUCCAGGGACACUUCUGCAUAUCCCUACAAGUUCAUCAAAAUCUCAGCCCAGCUGAAUUAACCCACGGCCCAGCCUGACAGGUAAUGAUGCUGUUCCUCUCUUGUGGCAGUGGUGAUGAGGAAAGACUCCUUCACCCCAUGGACAGCAGCAACAUGCGUGUUUGGAUGGAAGAGGUGUAACCCAGGGACAUCUGGCUCUCCGGGUGCGAGGUACAGCGACGUGGAUCUUACAUAAAUCAAUGAUUUCUGGAAGGCAUAGAAUCAGGCAUUUAUCUAGGACCACAUCUCUCUCCCGAGGCACUCCUGCUGGUAGCUGCAUUCAGCCACUUGCCCUGCAGUACAGCGAGAAGGCAGGAGCGCGAAUUCCCCAGCUAGCUCUGAUUCAGUAAUCAUAACAAGUGUUCAUUAGUGCCAUCAUCGUUAUUCAGAGUGGUCAGCUGGGCAUUGCGCUGCGCUCAAGUGGAUCACCAGUCUUUGGUCUCUAGCUCUGACCUUGCAAUUGACUGCAAGCCGGUGACAUCAUGCAGCGUCUCUGGAGGCUUGCAUGGGUGAUGUGGCUGCCUUUUAUUAAAAGUUGCUUCUUGGAAUCUCAUGCUGCAGAUUGAAGGUAUGAUGUUGUCUU
This 1036-nucleotide long non-coding RNA is filed under the name Anas platyrhynchos platyrhynchos (common mallard). RNAcentral describes it as "lncRNA (ENSAPLG00000029797.1)". The record is from RNAcentral. Lineage: Eukaryota; Metazoa; Chordata; Aves; Anseriformes; Anatidae.